CAUUUACCACUUGUAUCGUAUUAUGUGCUUUCCUACUCGAGAAUGCAUCGGGCGUCUGGCUGUAGAAGGUAGUAUGGAGAUUCGCUAAUAUUCAAGCAAUCUAUCGGUUUUUGACUAUUAGAAUAUAAACAAUUAUAAGAAUAUACUGUAAAUCUAUACGGAUGUCCUUCGACUGCUUGCCAAAAUCCUUUUUGCCUCAGCGAGAAGGUCUCUAGACGUUACAGAGAACUCCAAAUAAUCCAAUCUGCUAAUCUUCGAUACCGCUUUAUAUUCACGACCUUGUAUCUACUGACUAUUUUGUUAGAUUAACCCAAAAAAUUUCAUUCACUCCGCAUACUCAAUCCUAUAGACACCCUUUUAAUUCUUCAAUCACAGACGUAACUUCAAUUUCACAAAACAGUCAAGAGUAAUCACACCCACUUCAUUAAAACCCCGAUUCACUAGUACAACACAUCGACCUUUCAGCAUUGAUCGCCAAAAGUCCCUUUUCUGACCU
Molecule: long non-coding RNA, 496 nt
Filed under: Physcomitrium patens
Lineage: Eukaryota; Viridiplantae; Streptophyta; Bryopsida; Funariales; Funariaceae
Description: long non-coding RNA (PPAT_LNC015007)
Source: RNAcentral